Non-coding RNA from Rodentibacter rarus, 98 nucleotides. The record is from Rfam. Lineage: Bacteria; Pseudomonadati; Pseudomonadota; Gammaproteobacteria; Pasteurellales; Pasteurellaceae.
GUGCGGUCAUAAAAAAGGUUGUUUUUUGAACCUUGGCUUUGCCAACAGCCUCGUAAGAGGUGAACAAACGAGCGAGCGAGUUUGUGAAUAAUUUUAAC